CUUUCUGUGUCAUGAGCUCACCCUGGCCAGGGUUAAGAGCAUGAGGUCUCAUCCUCAUUUAAACUUUGAUCAGCUUCACCCUAACGUUCAAUGUUAGUGGUUAAGAGCUACAGAUUACCCCUUACAGUUUGGCUUGUUUGUCGAGGUUGAGCACUCCCUCUUGACUAAAGCCCACCCAUUGUUUGAGCCUCUUGUAUGGA
Molecule: long non-coding RNA, 200 nt
Filed under: Lathyrus oleraceus (garden pea)
Lineage: Eukaryota; Viridiplantae; Streptophyta; Magnoliopsida; Fabales; Fabaceae
Description: Pisum sativum (pea) long non-coding RNA (PSAT_LNC025492)
Source: RNAcentral